RNAcentral lists this ribosomal RNA (133 nucleotides) under Micromonospora matsumotoense. RNAcentral's name for it is "16S rRNA. Bacterial SSU". It matches the Rfam family "Bacterial small subunit ribosomal RNA", at positions 1 to 134 of the family's 1533-position model. The record is from RNAcentral. Lineage: Bacteria; Bacillati; Actinomycetota; Actinomycetes; Micromonosporales; Micromonosporaceae.
UUUUGUUGGAGAGUUUGAUCCUGGCUCAGGACGAACGCUGGCGGCGUGCUUAACACAUGCAAGUCGAGCGGAAAGGCCCUUCGGGGUACUCGAGCGGCGAACGGGUGAGUAACACGUGAGCAACCUGCCCUAG